Molecule: small nuclear RNA, 108 nt
Organism: Ochotona curzoniae (black-lipped pika)
Lineage: Eukaryota; Metazoa; Chordata; Mammalia; Lagomorpha; Ochotonidae
Source: RefSeq, a predicted model, not a curated record
CUGUACUCACUGCAGCAACAAAUAAAUUAAAAUUUGAAUGACACAGAGCAAAUUAGCAUGGCCUUGUCGAAGAAUGACACACAAAUCCAUGAAGUUUCCCAUACAUAA